RNAcentral lists this unclassified non-coding RNA (412 nucleotides) under soil metagenome. RNAcentral's name for it is "partial contains 5.8S ribosomal RNA, internal transcribed spacer 2, and large subunit ribosomal RNA". The stretch from base 1 to 122 matches the Rfam family "5.8S ribosomal RNA", at positions 35 to 154 of the family's 154-position model. The record is from RNAcentral.
GAUGAAGAACGUAGCGAAAUGCGAUACUUGGUGUGAAUUGCAGAAUCCCGUGAACCAUCGAGUCUUUGAACGCAAGUUGCGCCCGAAGCCGUCAGGCCGAGGGCACGCCUGCCUGGGCGUCACACGCCGUUGCCCCCCCGCGCCCCGCACCCAACGCUUUGGGAGCGACCGCGGGGUGGGCUGAUGAUGGCCUCCCGUGCGCUCCGCCGCGCGGUUGGCCCAAAUACCGAGUCCCGGGCGACGUGCGCCACGACGAUCGGUGGUUGAGAGACCUCUGUCGCAAGUCGUGCGCGCCCGUCGCGUCACGCGGGCUCGCAUAGCGCCUCGCGCCGCACCCGGUGCGGAGCUUUCAACGCGACCCCAGGUCAGGCGGGGUUACCCGCUGAAUUUAAGCAUAUCAAUAAGCGGAGGA